Molecule: ribosomal RNA, 252 nt
Filed under: uncultured bacterium
Lineage: Bacteria
Description: partial 16S ribosomal RNA
Rfam family: Bacterial small subunit ribosomal RNA
Source: RNAcentral
UACGGAGGAUGCGAGCGUUAUCCGGAUUUAUUGGGUUUAAAGGGUGCGUAGGCGGUAUUUUAAGUUAGUGGUAAAACGUCGGGGCUUCACCUUGAUUGGCCAUUAAAACUGGAGUACUAGAGUACAGACGAGGUAGGCGGAAUGAGUUAAGUAGCGGUGAAAUGCUUAGAUAUAACUUAGAACCCCGAUAGCGAAGGCAGCUUACCAGACUGUUACUGACGCUGAAGCACGAGAGCGUGGGUAGCGAACAGG